RNAcentral lists this long non-coding RNA (16637 nucleotides) under Triticum aestivum (bread wheat). RNAcentral describes it as "long non-coding RNA (TAES_LNC018421)". The stretch from base 2712 to 2835 matches the Rfam family "MIR1120/MIR1122 microRNA precursor family". Lineage: Eukaryota; Viridiplantae; Streptophyta; Magnoliopsida; Poales; Poaceae. The record is from RNAcentral.
AGCGGGUAGGUGAGGACGCCCGGCCGCUCAGCGCCAAGGUGGACCUGGAGGUGCUGCUGCUGCUGCUGCUGAUGGUGCCGUUGUCCUGGGUGUCUCAGGGUCAAGGAGACGGUGAGGACGGCUCUGAGGGAGGGGGUGAUGGCGCCACAGUGGAGCAGGAGCACCUGGCUGCGGAAGUCGCCGCUGCCGCUGGAGACGGAGGCAGAGGCACGCUGAGCCGCCGUUGCUUCAUGACAAUCACCCACUCCAUCAUCAUCAUCCUCAAGAUCAUCAAGAGGAUGGACGUGAGGAGGAUGCUGAACAAGACGGCAUGUUAGCUCGAUCUGGCCAACGGAGGCGGGCAGGCCGGCGACGCGCUGCGCCUGGAGGCACACCACCGCCACCACCGUGGUGCUGCCCUGCUCGUCUUCUUGGCCGUGGGCUAGCAUCAUCGGACAGAUGAACAACGCUCGGCGCCUAGCAGUGGUGUACUCCUAAAUGUAGGCUGAGCAUGGAGACGAAUGCAUCAUCAGAAUCUAUAUUCAGAUGAACUUGACGCCUAGGGGUAGUCAGUCCUCCUAAUGUAGCGGUGAAGUCAAGAAGGGUGCGUGUGGAAGUGCGAGUACGGAGAGGGGACGCGGCCCGGCCGGCCAUGGAUUUGGAUUUGAUCUGGACGGCUCCAUUAUCCUAUUGCUUUACUGCUCCCCAUGAACACAACACAACAGAGGAUGUACCUGCCUUCUAACACGUGUUAUGCUACUAAUAAUCCUAUUAAUUUGAAGGAAAUGCUUUCUUAUUUCGAGCUGGUACUUAUUUGUCGGCAUCGGACCUUUCGCCGGAGCUGUCAUUUAGCGGCAAGCCGGCGACUCGUUAACCUAUCUAGGUUACUUUACUUGUAGCUCCCUCAGUUUUGAAUUACUUGUCACAUAAAUAAAUGUAUUCAUUUCUAUCCAUUGUGACAAAUAAUUCGGAAUGGAGGGAGUACUAAAUUACUCCCUCUGUAAACUAAUAUAAGAGCGUUUAGAUCACUAAAAUACGGAUGGAGUACUAACCAACCCGAGUUUUCAUAAAGCAACUUUAGCCGCAGAGUUGCCAAAUCAGCAGCCAUCAUUAUGUGUGUGAAGCGGAUUCUAUAAUUCAGAAAUGUUAAAAAUCUGACGUUCGUUGAGUAAGGAUGGCAAAUCAGAAGUUGAGCAAUCUAUGUUGUCGUAAGGACGGCAAUUUCCUUCACAACCACGACAAAUCCUCCCGAUAAACUGAACAUGGCGGAUUUCCAUGUUUGCUAAAAGAAAUUGCAAUCCCAGCAACACAUAAUUUGGCACAAAAUAGUUUAAUUUGCCAUGCUGACCCAGUGACUGUUUGCUGGUUAUUGAAUUCUUAGUAUUUUGAAGGCCGCCAAGACCACGUGCCAACUCAGGUUAUCAUAAGGUGUCUUAUAAAAGAAAUUCUUUUUUUUUGGCUUCUGUUUGACAUUGAUAGUUUUUGGGCAAUCAAACAGAGACUAAAGUUGAUUAACAACAAACUUCAUUCGAGUACCUAUAAUAGGGCUAAAAUUCAUUGCAUUAACUUAUAAUUUGCAAUUUUAAAUGUUGUUAAGCUAUAUUUGCAAAAUAGUAAACAUAUGUUGUGCCGAUAUUCGACAUUGCUAGCUACUACUAGCUGACAUCGUUUAGUCCUCGUCCUCAUUAUCGAGCUCGUCGAGGCCCAUGCCGGAGUCGAGCGACAAACUGAACCUCCAGCAAUAGUCAAGCUCAUUCAUGCGCUUGGCCUCCUCGAUGGAGUGGUGAGCAAUGAGCUCACUACUUUUCCUCUAGCUCGUCGGCUAGGAGGGGGAGCAUUGGCGCCGAUGCUCCUCUGCUUUGCGGGAGCACGAUCUUGAUUGGGUCCUCAGGCUCGGGCUCAACGUGGGCGGGGAAGAGGGAGGCGAUAGCAUCCUCCUCUUCGCCCGAGGAGGAGUCGUACCAGGUGUCGGCCGGUGGGCCACCCCGACGAGGAUGGGCUCGUCCACGGGGACGAUGGCGCUCGGUCCAUUGUUGUUGCCAAUGCCACGCGGGCCGCGGUGGGAGCAGGAUGCUGUUGGGGAACGCUGCAUGGGAAACAAAAAUUUCCUACGCUCACCAAGAUCCAAUCUAGGAGAUGACCAUCUACGAGAGGAGAGAUUGGAUCUAUAUACCCUUGUAGAUCGCUAAGCGGAAGCGUUAAGAAACGCGGUUGAUGUAGUCAAACGUCUUCGCGAUCCUAUCACGAUCCGUCCCGCGAACUCCCGAUCCAAGUGCCGAACGGACGGCACCUUCGUGUUCAACACACGUACGGCUUGAUGACGCCUUCACCUCCUUGAUCCAGCGAGCGAUGGUGAAGUAGUAGCUUGAGUCCUCCGGCAGCACGACGGCGUGGUGGCGGUGGGGGUGGAGAAAUCUCAGCAGAGCUUUGCUAAGCACUACGGAGAAGAAGAGGGAUGCGAGGGAGAGGAGAGGCAGCGCGUCGCGUGGAGAUGUGCUCAAGGGGGUGCGGCUGCCCUCUCUCUACCUCUCUAUAUAUAGGGGAAGGGAGGGGGUGGCGCCCCUAGGGUUUUCCCUAGGGGGGCGGCGGCCAGGGUAGAUGGGAUCUCCCCUAGGGUGACUUUCCCCCCAAGCCGGAAGGUGGGAAGCCCUAGGGGGGCGCCCCCAACCCUCCUGGUUACGUGAGAUGGGGUGAGGCGGGCGACUAAUUAACCCAUCUAGGUUACUUCACUUGUAGUAGCUCCCUCCGUCCUGAAUUACUUGUCGCAGAAAUGAAUGUAUCAAUACGUAUUUUUAGUUUUAGAUAUAUUUAUUUUUAUCCAUUGUGACAAGUAAUUCGGGACGAAGGGAGUACUAAACUACUAAUCAACGCGAGCUUUCAUGAGAGCAACUUUAGCCGCAGAGUUGGCCUAUUAGCAGUCAUCAUAAUGCAUGUGCAGCGCAUUCUAUAAUUCAGAAAUGUUAAAAGUCUGACGUUUGUUGGGUGAGGAUCAGAAAUUUUUAAGCAAUCUAUGUUGUCGUAAGGACGGCAAUUUCCUUCACAACCACGACAAAUCCUCCCGAAAAACUGAACAUGGCGGAUCUCCAUGUUUGCUAAAAGAAAUUGCUAUCCCAGCAACACAUAAUUUGGCACAAAAUAGUUUAAUUUGCCAUGCUGACCCAGCGACUGUUCGUUGUUAUCAAAUUCUUAGUAUUCUGAAGGUCGCUAAGACCACGUGCCAAUUCGGGUUAUCAUAAUGCGUCUUAUAAAAGAAAUUCUUAUCUUUUUGGCUUUUGUUUGAAAUUGAUAGUUUUUAGGCAAUCAAACAGAGACUAAAGUUGAUUAACACAAACUACAUUCGAGUACUUAUAAUAUGGCUAAAAUUCGUGGCAUUAACAUAUAAUUUGCAAUUUUAAAUAUCAUUAAGCUACAUUUGCAAAAUAGUAAACAUAUGUUGUGCCGAUAUUCGACAUUGCUAGCUACUACUAGCCGACAUCGUUUAGUCCUCGUCCUCAUCAUCGAGCUCGUCGAGGCCCACGUCGAAGUCGAGCUCAUCCACGGGGACGAUGGCGCUCGGUCCAUUGCUGCUGCCAAUGCCAGGCGGGCCACGGUGGGAGCAGAAUGCUCCAGUGGCCGCCCUAGUGCAGCACAAGGAAUAAAAUCUACACAAUUGGUAACCCAGUUGGAGGCACCGCCGGCGCAUAGUGUUUGGGACGGCUAGUUGUUGUCGUCCAGCAUGUUGAGCCAAUAGCCCGCGGGCACGACACGACAACAUUGAGGCGGUGAGCUCAACGCAUAGAGGCAAGGGUGUGGGAGAGGAGGAGGCGGUGACUAGGGUUAGGGUUGCGAUGGGGAUGCCUCCUCGCCUGUCUUUUAUUGCCGGGGACGGCGUGCGGUAUGGUAGGCAUCCUAUGGCUCGCUGGUGGGAAUCUGAGGGGGCGGACGCGCCAUUAAUGGCUGGUAUAUUCGUUGGUGUUUAUCAGUCACAUCGUUGGUGGUUUAGACUGCUUGUUGAGUUGUACGAGCGGCAGCGUGUAACACCCCGGAUGUAACUUUCCAUAUUUGUAACUCCAACUCUUGCCAUUUUCGGCUGUGUUAUGAUAUUCCCUUCGUGGUCGGGUUUUGUUUUUCGUUUUGCAUUUUGUUCAUGUCAUGCAUCUCAUAUCAUGUCGUCAUGUGCAUCUCAUUUGCAUACGUCUUCGUCUCAUGCAUCCGAGCAUUUUCCCAGUUGUCCGUUUUGCAAUCCGACACUCCCACAUGCACCGGCGCACCCCUCUUGUCUCUUUUCGUGAGCGGGUGUUAAACGUUCUCGGAAUGGACCGAGUUUUGCCAAGUGGCCUUGGUACACCACCGGUAGACCACCUGUCAAGUUUCGUUCCAUUUGGAGGUCGUUUGAUGCUCCAACGGUUAACCAGGUAACCGCAAAGGCCUUUUGAGUGUUGCAGCCAAACACCCCUCCAAACAGCCCAAUAACCCAUCUAAGUCCCCUCCAUGCUCUCGAUCGUUCGAUCAUGAUCGUGUGGGCGACAAUCGCACUCCAUUUGGAGUCUCCUAGCUCCCUCUAGCUAUAAAUAUGUGAGCCUCCCCGAAAUCCCGCAGUCCAAAAACCCUAGCCCGCUCCCUCUCCGCCGCCGGACACGUCCCGGUCCGGUCGGACACAUCGCCGCCGCCGCUCAGAGCCAACCGGGCCGCGCCACUUGUCGCGCCGUCGCCUCCCCCGCCUAAGCCCGCGAGGCCCGUGCCUGGCCCCCNNNNNNNNNNNNNNNNNNNNNNNNNNNNNNNNNNNNNNNNNNNNNNNNNNNNNNNNNNNNNNNNNNNNNNNNNNNNNNNNNNNNNNNNNNNNNNNNNNNNNNNNNNNNNNNNNNNNNNNNNNNNNNNNNNNNNNNNNNNNNNNNNNNNNNNNNNNNNNNNNNNNNNNNNNNNNNNNNNNNNNNNNNNNNNNNNNNNNNNNNNNNNNNNNNNNNNNNNNNNNNNNNNNNNNNNNNNNNNNNNNNNNNNNNNNNNNNNNNNNNNNNNNNNNNNNNNNNNNNNNNNNNNNNNNNNNNNNNNNNNNNNNNNNNNNNNNNNNNNNNNNNNNGAGCCGCCGUCCUCGCCGUCCUGAGCUCCCUCCGCGCGCCGCCCGAGCCGCCGCUCCCUCCAUCCGCCGGCGCCGGAUCCGCCUCCUCCGGUCGGCCCCGUCCCCGCCGGCGUCUUCUCCGACCUCCCCGAGCGCAACUCCGGUGAGCCGCCCCGCCUCGGCUUCCGUGCCAGCAACCCUAGAUCUGGAGAGGUUGAACCCUGAAAUUCCUCCAAGUCCCGUUCUGCGUACUUUAUGUUGCUCUGUUCAUCAUGGUAUAUCUCAUUGCAUAUUACUCCAUUUUGCGUGCAUGAUAUAUCGAAAUGUUCAUCACGAGAUGCUCUUCAUUUUGUUCUAUUGUGCCAUGCUCGUUUGAGUUCAUCUUGAUGCCCAAAUCUCUAGUGCAAGAGUGCUAUAUGAUGUUUACUGCUGUUUCUUAUCAGAACUUGAUGUUUUGUUAUUUUUGUUGCAUUUGAUGUGUGCAUCUUAUAGGCAUGAGCUCUACAGGUGUUUUAAUCUAUGCCAUGCCAUCUUUACAUAGGUGUAUGCCAUGUAUUUUGGUGAUCUAUAUGGUGACUAGCACAAGCAUGCAAACUAGGCUUCGUGAUGUUUCUGUUUUCAGGGACUUGGGAUUUUGCCAAGUCUUUUACCUGCUGUUAUUUUGUUGCCAUGUAUCCAUGUGUCUACAGUGAGAUCCAUGCUUCUUUUGAGUAUGUUCAGUAAGGAUGUUUUGUAGAUAUAGUUGUGCUCUAUCCAUCCAUGCCCCUGUUUGCAAAUAUUGGAGUGCUCUAGCAUUUCUCAAUCUUGCUCUACUUUUGCUAUAAAAUGUUCCUGGCAGAAUGUUAACAUGAUAUUCAAUUUUGCCAAGGUUGUUCUAGUUGAUCCAUACAUGCUAUGAACUUGAUCUUGCCAUGGUUAGCUUGAUGAACAUGCCAUCUUGCUGUAGAUAUGCUUGUUUUGUCAUGCAUUGCUUUGUAAUGAGUGAAUCGAGCUCACAAAGAUGCCUUCAUAAUUCUGUUAAUGCCAUGCUCUGUUUUCUGGUAAGUCUGAAACCUGUUAACAAAACUUGCUAUGUUUACAUGGGUGCCAUCAUAUCUUCUGAUCCUUUUUGGCUCAUGGUCAGUAAGGGAUUUUUGUUCUAUGCAUUUAGUAGAUUCAUGCCAUGCCUUGUUUCGCUAUGAUAAGUUCCUGUAGCAGGUGUUUUGCUUGCUCUGAAUAUUGCUACCUGAUGCUGUUUCAGCCAUGUUCAGUAUUUUCACCAAGUCUGUGAAGCUGAUAACUUUUGCACUUUUGCCAUGCUUGUUUGAACCUGUUAUAUUGUGAUAUAUCUGUAGCUCACUGUUCAUCUUUUGUCAAGCAUCUCCUGUAGAUCACUGCCAUAUGCUUUGUUGCUAUGUUGGGGUGCUGUAGCAUAGUUAAUUGAUGUAUUCUAAGUGCUAUCAUGCUGUUAAUCGCAGAAUCGUGUCAUUCUUGUUUUGCUCGCCAUUUGCAAACCGUGCAUCCGUUUCCGGUGAUCUUUAUAUCGAUUUCGACCGAAAUCAUCUCAUCUUUCCAGUGGCAUACUUGGUUUGCCAAGUGGAUGCCAUGUUCAUCCUUUUUCUUCCGGAGCACGCAUAUGCAUCGCAUAUCACAUCUCGCAUAUCAUGCAUGUAAUGCAUCAUGUUGCUUGUGCAUUUCCCGUGAUUGAUUGUGGUUCCAUUGCUUGUGUUCUUGUUGUGGGUAGAGCCGGGAGACGAGUUCGUGAACGAGGAACCUGUUGAGUACGCUUACGAGAAUCAAGCUUUCGAUAACUCUGAGAACCUUGCAGGCAAGAUGACCAUACCCUCGAAAUCACUUCUAUCUUUGCUUUGCUAGUUGUUCGUUCUAUUGCUAUGCUGCGCUACCCACCACUUGCUAUAUCAUGCCUCCCAUAUUGCCAUGUCAAGCCUCUAACCAUCCUUUCCUAGCAAACCGUUGUUCGGCUAAGUUACCGCUUUUGCUCAGCCCUCUUAUAGCGUUGCUAGUUGCAGGUGAAGUUGAAGUUGGUUCCAUGUUGGAACAUGGAUAUUUUUGGAAUAUCACAAUAUCUCUUAUUUAAUUAAUGCAUAUAUAUAUAUUUGGUAAAGGGUGGAAGGCUCGGCCUUAUGCCUGGUGUUUUGUUCCACUCUUGCCGUCUUAAUUUCCGUCAUACCGGUAUUAUGUUCCUUGAGUUUGCGUUCCUUACGCGGUUGGGUGAUUUAUGGGACCCCCUUGACAGUUCGCCUUGAAUAAAACUCCUCCAGCAAGGCCCAACCUUGGUUUUACAGUUGCCUACCUAAGCCUUUUUCCCUUGGGUUUUCGCGAGCCCGAGGGUCAUCUUUAUUUUAAACCCCCGGACCAGUGCUCCUUCGAGUGCUGGCCCAAACCGAGCGAUGUCCGGCGCCCCCUGGGCAACCAGGGUCUAUGCCAACCCGACGUCUGGCUCAUCCGGUGUGCCCUGAGAACGAGAUAUGUGCAGCUCCUAUCGGGAUUUGUCGGCACAUUCGGGCGGCUUUGCUGGUCUUGUUUUACCAUUGUCGAAAUGUCUUGUAAACCGGGAUUUCGAGACUGAUCGGGUCUUCCCGGGAGAAGGUUUAUCCUUCAUUGACCGUGAGAGCUUAUAAUGGGCUAAGUUGGGACACCCCUGCAGGGUUUUAUCUUUCGAAAGCCGUGCCCGCGGUUAUGUGGCAGAUGGGAAUUUGUUAAUGUCCGGUUGUGGAGAACUUGGUACUUGACUUAAUUAAAAUACAUCAACCGUGUGUGUAGCCGUGAUGGUCUCUUUUCGGCGGAGUCCGGGAAGUGAACACGGUUCAGGUUAUGAAUGAACGUAAGUAGUUUCAGGAUCACUUCUUGAUCAUUUCUAGCUUCGCGACCGUUGCGUUGCUCCUCUUCUUGCUCUUAUUUGCGUAUGCUAGCUACCAUAUAUGCUUAGUGCUUGCUGCAGCUCCACCUCAUUACCCCAUCCUUUCCGAUAAGCUUAACUAGUCUUGAUCUCGCGGGUGUGAAAUUGCUGAGUCCUCGUGACUCACAGAUUCUACCAAAACAGUUGCAGGUGCCGACGAUACCAGUGCAGAUGACGCAACCGAGCUCAAGUGGGAGUUCGACGAGGAACGUGGUCGUUACUAUGUUUCGUUUCCGUAUGAUCAGUAGUGGAGCCCAGUUGGGACGAUCGGGGAUCUAGCAUUUGGGGUUAUCUUCCUUUCAUUUGGAUUUUGACCGUAGUCGGUCUAUGUGUGGAUUUUGGAUGAUGUAUGAAUUAAUUUAUGUAUUGUGUGAAGUGACGAUUGUAAGCCAACUCUCGUUAUCCCAUUCUUAUUCAUUACAUGGGAUUGUGUGAAGAUGACCCUUCUUGCGACAAUACCUACAAUGCGGUUAUGCCUCUAAGUCGUGCCUCGACACGUGGGAGAUAUAGCCGCAUCGUGNNNNNNNNNNNNNNNNNNNNNNNNNNNNNNNNNNNNNNNNNNNNNNNNNNNNNNNNNNNNNNNNNNNNNNNNNNNNNNNNNNNNNNNNNNNNNNNNNNNNNNNNNNNNNNNNNNNNNNNNNNNNNNNNNNNNNNNNNNNNNNNNNNNNNNNNNNNNNNNNNNNNNNNNNNNNNNNNNNNNNNNNNNNNNNNNNNNNNNNNNNNNNNNNNNNNNNNNNNNNNNNNNNNNNNNNNNNNNNNNNNNNNNNNNNNNNNNNNNNNNNNNNNNNNNNNNNNNNNNNNNNNNNNNNNNNNNNNNNNNNUCUAUUGCUGCAUAUUUUCCAUAAACAUUUCACGCAAAUUUUCAUUAUGUUUGGACUUCUGUAGGUAUGGUUUUUCCGCUAAACCACAAACAUGCAAAAAAUAGAAACUGGCACUAGGCACUAAAUUAAUAGAUUAGUUCAGAAAAUAAUAUAAAAUGACGUAUAAAACGUAAAACAGUGAUAAUACAAUAGUAUGAAACAAUAAAAAAUUAUAGAUAUAUUAAGACAUAUCAGCAAUUGAGGAGCCGACCAACCACACACUCCAUCGCAAGUUGAGGGCGUGCCACUGCUGCCGCUGCAGCCGCUUCCACCUGAAGUCGGUGUGAGCUUGAAAUCCAUAGAUGUACCUUUCACACACGGGAAGCCUUCGAGCUACACCCCAUCGGGCCAACGUACCAGAGAAGAGGCCGGAAGGACGCACCACAGAAAGCAUCAUCACACCUCCCUCACCGUUGAUGAAAAAGGCAACGGACUGGUGUCAUACAACAACCGUCUGCCCAGAUCAAAGGCGACAAAGGAGAAACCCCCAUUGGAAGGGAUCUGGUGGAAGACAAAUUCCGCACCGUCGCUAUACAGCACAACGGCAAGCAAACGCAAACCAAAUAUAAAAUCUCACCGCUAACCGGCGAGAGGAGCACACCACCAACUCGCUUACAACCGAAUCACUGGGAUAGGGAACGACUUAAGGUAGAGAUUAUUCGCCAUCCCUCCACCAUCCACACACCAGCGCUCAAAACCCUAAGUCUUACCCUAUGCACAAGACCGACACAAGGUUCUACGGUUCCCUACCGCUCCCAUCGUUGGAGCGGUCACCGGAGGAGAGGGAAUCGGCGGGGGUCACCGGCAAGCACAUGAGGAACUGCGGUUGCCUUCGCUUCUACCUCUUACGGGAAGGGGAACGUGAAGCUAAAACUCCCUUCCAUCCCUUCAAUCGUAAUGGGCCGGCCCAUAAGGCACGUUCUAGCCCGGUUUUCGAAAACUUCUAGAAGCUUACUGGGCGGAUUUUUUUUUCAUGUUAUUUGUUUUCUGGUUUAUUAGAUCGGGUUUAUUUUUUUUCUCUUUUUUAUCAUUUUUAUUUUCUUUUUUUUCCUUUUCCUUUUCCUUUUUUAUUUUUUCUCCUUUUAAAAAUUCAUGAAACUUUUUCAAGGCGUGAUUUUUUUCAAAUUCAUGAAUGUUUUUUGAAUCCGUGGUUAUUUUUUUCAAACCGGCAAACUUUUUAUUUAUUUUUUGUGAACAUUUUUUUUCUAAAAUUCCUUAAAUUUUUCAAAUUCUCGAACUAUUAUUAAAUUCAUGAAUUAUUUUUCUAAAUUCGUUAACUUUUUGAAAUUCGAGAUUUUUUUUCAAAAAUUCAUGAAUUUUUUCCCUGAAAUAUGUUUUUAAAAUUUAUGAAAUAUUUUCCCUCAAGAUUGUGAACAUUUUACUAAUUCACGGAAGACGUGAUUAUUUUUCAAUUUCACGAACUUUUUAAAAUUCAUGAUUUUUUUAAGUUCGUGAAGUAUUUGAAAUACACGAACUUUUUCAAACUCAGAAUGUUUUUGGAAAGACCAACAGUCAAGUCAACAAUCAAUGAGUUUUUUAAUAUUUACAAAUAUUAAUAUUUAUAUAUUUCCCAAAUUCAAUGGUCAACCAGUCAACCGGUUAACAAGCGAGCGAUGCAUCUUUCUAGCGUGCGAGCGAGCAAGGGAGCUCCUAUUUGGUGCUAUACAUGCCCGUUAGCGCUACAGGCGCUCGCUGGGGGAAGUUUAGCGGGGCAGCCCAGCAACCUGCUGAAGAACUGAGGGCUGAAUUGGACGUUUCCUUAGGGCAGCGCACGACCUAUGAUUCCUAGUGGGUGAGAGGUCUUCCAACUGCCUCUUGCCUGUGCCGCCACGGAUCCGCCUCGCCUCAUGUGGCCUUAGGGCUAUGGGUGCAUGGUGGAUCUUGGUCUUGCCGGUGGAAGGGCUCCUCGUUCGUUGUUAGAUGUCUUUUCGAGUCUUUUUAAGGUUUGUGUCCUGCUUAGAAAGAUGAGGCAGCAACGGCUUUCUGAAGAUGAAAUAAGGUUCUUCCCGUCUAGCCCCGUUCUGAUGGUGCGGCUAGCAUCAUUGGAGGGCGUGUGGAGGUGUGUCUCCGGUGAAUCUUGCGGGAUUCGGUCGGUGUUUGUCUUCGAUGGCUCUCUUUGGAUCCGGUCUUUCUUCAUCUGUGUUCGUGUGUCUACUGGUUGGAUUCUUCCGAUCUACGCUUUUUUCAGCAGUGAUGUUGUUGUUCUGUUGCGCUCUUCUUCUGGGGCCUUAGCACGAUGACUUCCCGACUGCCUACUACAACAAGGUUUGUCGGCCUCUGAUGAAGGAGGGACGAUGACGGCGGCGCGCCUUCGGCUCCUUCGAGUGCUUGUAGUCGGUCGUAGGUGGUCUACGGACUUCGAUGUAAUUUUUGUUACUUUUGACGUUCCUUCUACUGCCAUGAUGUUUCAAGAAUAGAGUGAAAGUUUUUCUCGCAAAAAAACCUGCUGAAGGAAAGCAAACAGAAAGAGAAAACUGCAAAAAAGUUCAAUAUCAGGAAAGCACGCUAUUUAAGCCUUCUUCUAGUACAACACUAGACAUAUACUAUAUAUAUACCAGUAUUAAUUAUUUUAAAAGAAAUUCAUCAAAUUAAAAAAUUAAAAUUUAAAAGGGUUCAUGAGAAAUGGAAAAAGUUCGUUGAUUUUGAAAAAAAUCAUCAAUUUUGAAUAAAGUUCAUCUAUUUUUGGAAAAAUGUUCAUCAAAUUUUUAAAAAGUUUAUUAUUAUUUUUUAGAAAAGUUCAUAAUUUUUUAAUAAAACUUCAUUAAUUUGGAAGAAAAUAUUCAUCAAUUUUGAAAAAAGUACAUUGAUGUUGAAAACAGUUCAUCAAUUCAAUUUUUUACGGAUUUUGGAAAAAUGUUCACAAAUCUAAGAAAAGAAAAGAAUAGAAAAGAAAAUAAAAAUAAGAGAAAGAACAAAAAGAGGAAAAGAAAAGGGAGCAAGUAAUCACAAAAGGGUUGUGUUCCGGGUGGUUAGGGAGAGUAGCCAGCGCUAUAAGCGCUGAUUAGGAGCUCUCAGAGAUGCUCUACAAAAAAACACCAAAGAUGGUUACUCCCUUCUUCCAUUUAUAUAGGGCCUAAUACGUUUUUUAAGGUAACCUUUGACCACUAGUUAGCACAAUAAUAUGUGACAUGCAUGUUUCAUACCAUCGAAUUCGUAUGUGAAAGAAGUUUUUAAUAAUAUUUUUUUUAUAUCAUAUACUCCCUCCGUUCCAAAAUAGAUGACUCAACUUUAUAGUAAAGUUAAUACAAAGUUGGGUCAUCUAUUUUAAAACGGAGGGAGUAUCUCAUACACGAGUAGCUACAACUAACUAACGGCAGGACGACCUGGACAGGACGAGUUUUCUGCAACAUGCGUGGCCCACGCUACAGAGACAGAAGAGGGCCCACGUGUUGUUGGUGUGGCGUUUCUAGGGCUGCAAACGAGUCGAGUUCGAGCGAGUUGGCCUAGGCUCAGCUCAACUUAUACUAAAAUUCGAGCGAGCUUAAAAUGUGCGAAGCUCAAGGUCGAGCUGCAGAAAGUAGCUCGUGCUCAGCUUGUAACGAUCUCGAGCUAGUUUCGAGCUAAAUAAGAUGAUUUUUAAAAUUAUUUAAAGGAAAAUUUUAAAGCAAGAUAGACCACAACACAACAAAAAAAUUCUAUAAAUUCGACUUAUUCUUUCUCAAAUGAAGACUAGUAUUUAAUAACAAGAAAUCAUGGAUAGAAGGCGAUGAAGGUGCGCCAGCUCUCAAACAUUGACCAAAAUAACAAAAUAUUGAACACACGGUUGCCCACGUGAUGAGAAUAAAUUUUCUCCAUGCUUAAUUUCCAUGUUUGCUAGUAGGUAAAGUGAAGCUAAAAAUCGUACAGAGCAUAUACAAAAAAGAAUGAUCCUAAUUCUUGGCAAUAGAUAUGAAGAUUAUUUAGUAUAUUUAUAUAAUAUCGAGCUAUCGAGCUAAAAUCGAGCGAGCCAAUAUUGGCUCAAGAUCGGCUCGUUUCUUAAUCGAGCUACAUAAAGUAUUCAUACUCAGCUCAUUUCUUUUCGACUCGAUCUCGAGUCAAGCUAAAAUAGGAGUCGAUCUCGAGCGGCUCACGAGCCUCGAGCUUUUCUUGCAGCGUGUCAGCUCUCCCAUUUGCUUUGCUGCCUUGCUGCCUUCGUUGGUCCACCUCCAGCUGGCCGCUCCCUUUUCAAUCAUCCAGCCAAAUCCACCUUAGCUUCGCUUCCUCUACUUCUUCUCUCAACCCAAAUCCAAAUCCCAAAUCCCAAAUCCCCAACCCGCCGGCGAUGGCUCGCGGCAGCCGCCCCGGGAGGAACGGCGGCGGCGGCGGCGGGUGCGCGCGCUGCUUCCUGGGAUUCCUGCUCAAGUUCCUCGCCUUCCUCCAGGUCUUCGCCGCCGUCUCCGCCGCCGUCUCCGCCGUGCUCUACGCCGCCUCCAUCCUCUCCCGCUGGGCGCGGCACCACGAGCUGCACUUCGACCACCUCCUCCCAGACCUCUGGUAUUGUGUUCCUCGCCUUCCUCCGUUCCGACCCACUUCCCUUCCCACUUGUGUAUGCGUAGCUGUACUGUCUGCCUGAUUCAACUUUUUUUUUCAUUCAUUAUAGGAUAUGUACAAAAAAAAACAAAUAAAGAAAACAGAAUAGCUCGCUACAAAAUCUGUCCAAUGCCUGUUAUUUCUAACAUGAUAAAAAUAUAAAUCAGAGGCACUUAGAGAAGCUUAGGAGAAAGAGUCAAUCCAUUGGUCAAGGCACUCCACAUUCCUUGCCUUAGUUCCGUGCUUGACUAGAAGAAGAUCCUGCUUCAGGCCAUAUUUCCAGGAAAUAGCCCCUGGAACCUCAUUUUUGAAGAUUUCCCCAUUCCUCUGCAUCCGAAUGUUCCAACAGCCCAUAAUCACAAUGUCCAUAGCAAUCUUCUGGGGAAAAGUUUGAAGGGUAAACAACACCUCAUAGAAAACAGAGAUACCUCCAAGUCUGUUUGGAGAGAUCUGAUCCCAGCAUAAAUAAAUGAGCAAAAGAGCAAUCCCAAAGCAGAUGUUGGACGGUUUCUUCUGUUUUGUGAUUACAGAGCACACAGUCAUAAGAAUUCAGGAAAAAAUAUUUUCUUUUGAGUAGACUUCUGGUAUUGAUUCUGUCAUAUUAGAGCAACCAAAAGAAAAUGUUAUGCCUGAUUCAACUUUUUGCAGGUUCGCGUGCGUCGUCAUGGCCGCCGGCCUCCUCUACUGCGCCAUCCUCCUCGCGGGGUACGUCGCCGCUGAGGUCAACAGCGGGUGCUGCCUCUGCUUCGUAAGACCCACACCCACGCACCACCACAACCCAUAUCCUUUUUUUCUUUAACAUACCUCUCCCUUCCUAUUGGUUCAUUUCUGCAUCACUGCUACUGAUGUUGACAACAAUUGUUCCAGUAUACCAUCUUGGCCAUGGCGAUGAUGCUGCUGGAAGCUGCCGUGGCCGGCCACCUCCUCCUCAACGAGCACUGGAUGCAGGUGGGCACCCAUUCAUGCCCCUGUCAGUAAUAGUUCCAUCUGAUCAAAUCAGAUCACUGACGAUUCCUCUUGUUCAUCUAUUAUUCUUGCAGGAUCUGCCGUAUGACCGCACCAGAGAGCUUGAGAACCUCGUCUCCUUUGUCAACAACAACCUCGACCUCUGCAAAUGGGCUGCUCUGGCUACCGUCGCCACGCAGGUGCGUGACUCUGCCAGAAUUAGUAUAUGCUUAUUCUUGGUAAACCUGAACAAGCAUUUCCAUCUCAAAUCAAACGGCACAGCAAGUGUACACGAGCCUUUUAAGUUGGUUGCUCCAGUGGUCUUUCACACUCUGUUUCCCUUUGUGCAUCGAGGAGGAGGAUCUGAUCCGUGUAUGUAUAGGUGUUCUCGCUUUUCUUGGCAAUUACUCUACGAGCCAUGGUUUCGCCCACCAAUGAGGACUGUGACAGCGACGAAGAUUUUGUUGUCAUAAGGAGGCCGCUGCUUCUUGCCCAAGGUGCUCCAGCCUAUCUCCCUACCACGGCCGAUCCUAGAGGUGCCCACCCUGGCCUAUGGAGCUCAUCGAUGAGGCAAAAGGUGAUUUUUUUUAGCCUGCAGUACUUACUUACGGUGAUUUCAGAUGUGACUAUGUAACCUAAGCAAGAGUGCACUAUCGUUAAGGACAGUACCCUGUUGUAAGAAAAAGAAUGGGUACAACCCCAUAGAGAACUAUUCAGGCAAAACGUAAUUGUAUGCAUUAUGUCUGCACAACACUGUUCUCCCUAGCAACUUGAAGAAUGUUUGGAACCAUUAAGCAAGCAUGUAUUUUGCUCUUUGGUCUCAGUUCUUCCAGGAUUUUUCUGUCGGGUACUUUUAUACCGACACCCACAGUUACUCAUAAGUCUUGACCCUCAGUUUCUUGAUACCCUCUAGCCAUGACGCUUAUCAACUUCUCUUUUUCUUUGCUGUAAUUAUUUUUACUCUACUACUCCCUCCGUUCCUAAAUAGUUGUCUUUCUAGAGAUUUCAACAAGUGACUACAUACGGAGCAAAAUGAAUGAAUCUACACUCUAAAAUAUGUCUAUAUACAUCCGUAUGUGGUAGUCCAUUUGAAAUCUCUAAAAGACAAAUAUUUAGGAAUGGAGGGAGUACAUGAGUAGUGCAGGAUUUAAAACAUAACCUGAUUGUAGCACACACUGUAGUUCAAGCAUUUGUAGACCGAGUAUCAGUUCAUUUCAUUCUCUGUAGGUUGGAUCGUAUGUUAGCUUAAGUUCUGGCAAGUUAUGAUGAUGAUUGACUAGCUGGUGGGCAGAAAUAUUUUAUAGCCUGCAAUUUUUAACUGAAUCAUACUGUAUGUUGUUGAGUUGUAAAGACAAGCUAAAUAGCUAGUUGGCUGAAAGCCAUUCCCAUGCGGACCAUGUUGAUUGCAAAAGUUAAAUAAGCAAAAAUUGCAGAAGCAAAUUAUGAAUUUGUAAAGAGUUGUCUUGUUGUCUUGCUGCAGUUGCUCAUUAUUGUUUCCGAGUGUGAAAAUCUAAGAAUGCCUGACAAUCAUAUCAUAUAGCAUGAAAGUCUAUGACAAUUAACCUUAUGCGGAAUGUCGAAAAAGUCAUGGCAAAUUUAUUAUAUUAACCAAUCAUGCCCUUAGUUCGACGUUGUAAAUGUAUUGACAUCCCAACAGCCAUGUGUUUCUUCUUGAAAACUAAUUCACAUUUUUCUUCCUGUGUGCCCUCUAGUAUGGAUUGAACUCCACAAGCGACUACACCUACAACACACUGGAUCAAAAUGCAGUACCGCCACAGUGAGAAUCUGCGUGACUGAUGACGAAGCACAUACCAUAUAUGCAGUACAUAAGUCAUAUGUUGCAAUAUGCCAUGGUGUAAUGGGCACUGUAUACAUUUGUACGCCCAGUUAUUCUGUGAAUCUCGGUUGUACAUAGUUCCAUCAUUACUACUCCCUCCGUCCCAAAAUAUAAGAACGUGUCACUAUAGUAGUAAAGAACAUAUGUGUGAAUGGCUGCCCUGGUUGGCUGGCUGCUAUUUCUUCGAGACCCGCUUACUAGUGCUGAAUCUGGAGCAAAUCCGCAACUCAGUCAUUGGGACAGCCAGGAGAUGGCCGUAUGUAAAUAAAUAGUCUAUCUUGUUGGAUGUCUUGGGUUGGCUGGUUUCUUCAAUGUAGCCAAAGAGAUGGAUGAGCAAGAAUGGCAGUAUUUGCAUUGGAUGUGUAUCAAGUUAGAUAUAGCAGUUAGUAAAAAAAUGUAAGGUAAUGUUAGUUCAAUUUUCAUGUGGAUGAUGACAUCAUUAAAAUAUUUUCUUGGGCCAAAUAUUACAUAUCCACACUUCAUUUGUUUUGCUUGAAACGACAAAAUAGAACUGCGAGCACCGUUUGUCACUGGUAUCACCUUACGUAAGUGAAACAAACAUCUGUAGUGUUG